AAGGAUCCAUUAAGAAAUGCUUGAGGAUGCUGCUGGCCUAUUGCGGGCAUGUUCACUCCCUGAAAAUCCCCUUUAUCACCUUCUCACCUUUGUCCCUAUUUGUAGGUCCUUGGGGGAGAUGGAAGUUGCUUUCACCUUACCUUGGGCUUAUGUUUAAUUUUUAUCCUUUGAUAAACCCCUUUGAAUGCCAUGUCCCAUUAUUAAAUUGAUAAUAAACCCCACUUUCAACAAUGGAUUUCUUGGCUUUCGCAUCGGUGAAGAACGCAACGAAAUGCGAUACGUAAAGUGAAUUGCCGAAUUCCGUUAAUCAUUGGAUCUUUGGACGCCCCCUGCGCCUUUUGGUACUUCGAAGGGCAUGCCCGUUUGAGUGUUUUUUGAAUAUUUCCAACUUUGCCCUGUGGGACUUUUCCGAGGGUUAAGUUUGGAUUUUGGCGGUUGCCCAUUUUUCAUCAUUUGGUUUGAGGAAGUUGGCUCCUUUUAAAAACAUUAACGGACAAGGAGAAAUCCCAUUUUUCUUUGGGUGCUGGUAUUGAUUAUUUAGUCUAUGCCUGUAAAGACCCUUGAGGAGGAUCGUCUCUAUUUUGGUUUGCUCAUAAAAAUAAAGGUCACCUUUUACGUGGUGACUUUUUCUUGACAAAUUACCUCAAAUCAGGUAGGACUACCC
RNAcentral lists this ribosomal RNA (664 nucleotides) under Hygrocybe subminutula. RNAcentral describes it as "eukaryotic LSU rRNA". The stretch from base 220 to 373 matches the Rfam family "5.8S ribosomal RNA". Lineage: Eukaryota; Fungi; Basidiomycota; Agaricomycetes; Agaricales; Hygrophoraceae. The record is from RNAcentral.